UGAUACAACCAAAACAACUCUUAGCGAUAGAUGUCUUGGUUCUGGCAACGAUGAAGAACGCAGCGAACUGCGAUACGUAAUGCGAAUUGCAGAAUUCAGUGAAUCAUCGAAUCUUUGAACGCAUGUUGCACUCUUGGACUUGUGCCGAGAGUAU
This 154-nucleotide ribosomal RNA is filed under the name uncultured fungus. RNAcentral describes it as "5.8S ribosomal RNA". It matches the Rfam family "5.8S ribosomal RNA", at positions 1 to 138 of the family's 154-position model. From Rfam's summary of the family: 5.8S ribosomal RNA (5.8S rRNA) is a component of the large subunit of the eukaryotic ribosome. It is transcribed by RNA polymerase I as part of the 45S precursor that also contains 18S and 28S rRNA. Lineage: Eukaryota; Fungi. The record is from RNAcentral.